GGACCAGUAGCGUUGCGGUUAACGCAUCUUCGUAUCAAGGAGACGGCUGCGGGCUCGAUUCCCGUCUGUUCGU
Molecule: transfer RNA, 73 nt
Filed under: Operophtera brumata (winter moth)
Lineage: Eukaryota; Metazoa; Arthropoda; Insecta; Lepidoptera; Geometridae
Rfam family: tRNA
About the family: Transfer RNA (tRNA) molecules are approximately 80 nucleotides in length.
Source: Rfam by way of RNAcentral